RNAcentral lists this transfer RNA (74 nucleotides) under subsurface metagenome. RNAcentral describes it as "tRNA-Gln". It matches the Rfam family "tRNA". From Rfam's summary of the family: Transfer RNA (tRNA) molecules are approximately 80 nucleotides in length. Their secondary structure includes four short double-helical elements and three loops (D, anti-codon, and T loops). The record is from RNAcentral.
UGGGGAAUCGUCUAGCGGUAGGACAACGGGCUCUGGACCCGUAAAGGUAGGUUCGAAUCCUACUUCCCCAGCCA